CACGUAGGCGGCGAUUUAAGUCAGAGGUGAAAGCCCGGGGCUCAACCCCGGAACUGCCUUUGAGACUGGAUUGCUUGAAUCCUGGAGAGGUGAGUGGAAUUCCGAGUGUAGAGGUGAAAUUCGUAGAUAUUCGGAAGAACACCAGUGGCGAAGGCGACACACUGGCUCAUUACUGACGCUGAGGCUCGAAAGCGUGGGGAGCAAACA
RNAcentral lists this ribosomal RNA (207 nucleotides) under uncultured bacterium. Its description in RNAcentral is "partial 16S ribosomal RNA". It matches the Rfam family "Bacterial small subunit ribosomal RNA", at positions 568 to 774 of the family's 1533-position model. The record is from RNAcentral.